UUCGGGUUAGGCGUAGGAAUGGAUCGUGGUGGCCGUGGCGUAUAAUGGGAUUUCCUGAAUUUCCUGAUGGUUGCGUCCUUUCUCUGAAGGAUCAAACUCCGGUGAAGUUCUUGGGACGAUAUAAUGCAAACAUUUGGUCACUUAGCAGGGGGCUCAACAAGACGUGCUAGUUGAUAUGGUUGCAUAAAGUCAUUCUUACAAGCAGAGAUUGGUACACCUUAUCAACACAACUACGCAUUUUGGAGUCAUGUUACAUGAAAUAAGAGGAGAAGAGGCAUAAUUC
Long non-coding RNA from Papaver somniferum (opium poppy), 283 nucleotides. RefSeq lists it as uncharacterized. NCBI's taxonomy places the organism in Eukaryota, Viridiplantae, Streptophyta, Magnoliopsida, Ranunculales, Papaveraceae. The record is from RefSeq and is a predicted model, not a curated record. The transcript has 3 exons.